CGAAGGGCAUCGGGGAGAGUGCUUGCACUCUCUGCCGGCGACUGGCGCACGGGUGAGUAACACGUAUGCAACCUGCCCUCCACAGGGGGACAACCUUCCGAAAGGGAGGCUAAUCCCGCGUAUAUUCCCUGGGGGCAUCCCUGGGGGAGGAAAGGGUUACCGGUGGAGGAUGGGCAUGCGGCGCAUUAGGCAGUAGGCGGGGUAACGGCCCACCUAACCGACGAUGCGUAGGGGUUCUGAGAGGAAGGUCCCCCACACUGGUACUGAGACACGGACCAGACUCCUACGGGAGGCAGCAGUGAGGAAUAUUGGUCAAUGGGCGGGAGCCUGAACCAGCCAAGCCGCGUGAAGGAAGAAGGCGCCAGGCGUCGUAAACUUCUUUUGUCGGGGAACAAAGGGCGCCACGCGUGGCGUUGUGAGUGUACCCGAAGAAAAAGCAUCGGCUAACUCCGUGCCAGCAGCCGCGGUAAUACGGAGGAUGCGAGCGUUAUCCGGAUUUAUUGGGUUUAAAGGGUGCGUAGGCGGAAUGCCAAGUCAGCGGUAAAAUCGCGGGGCUCAACCUCGCUCCGCCGUUGAAACUGGCGUUCUUGAGUGGGCGAGAAGUAUGCGGAAUGCGUGGUGUAGCGGUGAAAUGCAUAGAUAUCACGCAGAGCUCCGAUUGCGAAGGCAGCUUACCGGCGCCCAACUGACGCUGAAGCACGAAAGCGGGGUAUCGAACAGGAUUAGAUACCCUGGUAGUCCACGCAGUAAACGAUGAAUACUAGCUGUUCGGGGCAAAUGGGCCUUGAGUGGCACAGCGAAA
This 802-nucleotide ribosomal RNA is filed under the name uncultured bacterium. Its description in RNAcentral is "bacterial SSU rRNA". It matches the Rfam family "Bacterial small subunit ribosomal RNA", at positions 63 to 856 of the family's 1533-position model. The record is from RNAcentral.